RNAcentral lists this unclassified non-coding RNA (205 nucleotides) under Hevea brasiliensis (rubber tree). Lineage: Eukaryota; Viridiplantae; Streptophyta; Magnoliopsida; Malpighiales; Euphorbiaceae. The record is from RNAcentral.
GCUUAGCCAUAGCGUGUCUUCUGCAUCGCGUGAUGGAGGAGUGGGUCCAGACGGGAACGCUAUGUCCGAUAUAUCGUAUUCUUAUGGCCGAAACACAAGUUCUAGUACCGAUCCAGGCGGUUCUACCCCAAACCAAGCAACACAAAUAUGUGGGUUUGAUCGGGAAGCAAGGGUAAUGAGGUACAGAGAGAAGAGGAAGAAUCGG